AGCCUCAGCUGCCUGUUGGGAGCUUUAUUUUGGUGCGUUUACCUGGAAAAAGCAGUGAGGCCUCAAAUAAGAAUUUUCGUGGCUAGAUGGAUAAGCYGUGACCCCAGCUGUCUUUGCCUUGCUUUGCUGCUUAAUGUCGUAACAGCAGCUCGGGACCCCAGAAUAAAAACUGUUACAGUGCUUAAGGGAGGAUCUGCGUUUGCCCAGGUUAGGGGAUGGUCGUUAAAGCUUUUUGGGGGAGGGAGGGGGGGGGAAGCUCCAAAAGGAGACUCUCCCAGUGACCUUGGUGGUCUGAUUCAUUUGCAGGCUGAYGUUCUGAGGGCCAGCAACUUGAAGAGGAGCAGCUCAGCCCGUUUUGUUGAUUUCAGUGAUAUCGUUUUAAGGAAGCAUGUGCUGAAGCAUAGUCYGGCAGUCGAAGGAGUGUUGUCACAGCUGGGAGCUCUGUGGAGAUCUGCRGCUGGCCAUGGAGGAUGAGCUCUGACUUGCAGCGUGGGCACAGCUAAAUCCUGGGACUGCACUGUAUGUGAGCAGGGCUGGGAGGUGGAAGGUGGUUUUGCCCUCGGUGGUUACUGGUGUCAUUGGCUGUGGAUGUUUGCCCAUGGARCUGAGAGGACCAAAAAUAUUAAUUGUCUGUAACACAGAUGAAUUAGUGCUUGCAGUGUUUCAGGUAGGUUCAGUGGAGGUGCAGCUUAGUACAGUCCAGUGGCAUGAUUCUUGCACAUGCUCACAUUUGAACGGUGGCUAAAACCAAGCCUAUGAACAGCAACUGUCACGUGAUUUUGGUGUGUGUCUUCCUGUUCUGCUGCCAUUCUAAAUGAAGGGGAAACUUCUUAAACUGUGGGCAAACCCCUUGGCUUCUCUGUACUGUUCUCAUGCUCAUGGGUGCUUUGGUGUUUCUUGCUUAAAGCUGAGGGUUUGAAGUUUUUCACUUAAGGUUUAUUGUUUAGUUUGUUGUUGAGGGUCUGUMACUCAGGGGUUAUGGUGUAUUACUUCAUUUUGUGGGGCUCAGUCUUUAUCAGUCAGAGUUUACAGUUUGUUCAUUUAGCAAUCAGGGUGCAGAAUUUAAAAUCCAACCUCAUCCAUAAAUUUUAAAGCUUUGGCAACCAUUUGAAUUCCAAGAUUUGCAGUUUGUCACUUAGGGUGCAGGGUUUACAGCUCACUGAUAAACGAAAAGGGCUAAAUCCUUGGAUAAUAAACUGUAAGCCCUGAAGCCUAAGCA
RNAcentral lists this long non-coding RNA (1219 nucleotides) under Apteryx rowi (Okarito brown kiwi). Its description in RNAcentral is "lncRNA (ENSARWG00000008917.1)". The record is from RNAcentral. Lineage: Eukaryota; Metazoa; Chordata; Aves; Apterygiformes; Apterygidae.